This 134-nucleotide ribosomal RNA is filed under the name Clathrina clathrus. RNAcentral describes it as "large subunit ribosomal RNA". Lineage: Eukaryota; Metazoa; Porifera; Calcarea; Clathrinida; Clathrinidae. The record is from RNAcentral.
GACAAAAUGCUUGAUAAAAGACUGUACUAAGAUCUAACACAAGUAGGAUAAGAAAAGGGUAGGAAUAAUUGGUCUUAAGGAACUCGGCAAAUUGUUUACUGUAACUUAGGGAUAAGGACACUAGACACUGCUAU